Molecule: unclassified non-coding RNA, 259 nt
Filed under: uncultured fungus
Lineage: Eukaryota; Fungi
Description: partial contains small subunit ribosomal RNA, internal transcribed spacer 1, and 5.8S ribosomal RNA
Rfam family: Eukaryotic small subunit ribosomal RNA (bases 1-73)
Source: RNAcentral
GCAAACUUGGUCAUUUAGAGGAAGUAAAAGUCGUAACAAGGUUUCCGUAGGUGAACCUGCGGAAGGAUCAUUACCUUAGUAGUCUCUGACUGCUUUAUGCCCUUGUCUAUGAGCGCCUGUUUUGUUUCCUCGGCGGGUCCGCCCGCCAAUGAGGACCCCAACCAAACCCUUUUGUAAAGCAACAGUCUGAACCUUUUGCAACGCAAUCAAAACUUUCAACAACGGAUCUCUUGGUUCUGGCAUCGAUGAAGAACGCAGC